GCGGCAGGCCUAACACAUGCAAGUCGAACGGUAACAUGACUAGCUUGCUAGUUGAUGACGAGUGGCGGACGGGUGAGUAACGCGUAGGAAUCUACCCAGUAGCGGGGGAUAAGCCAGAGAAAUUUGGUCUAAUACCGCAUACGCCCUUCGGGGGAAAGCAGGGGAUCUUCGGACCUUGCACUAUUGGAUGAGCCUGCGUGAGAUUAGCUUGUUGGUGAGGUAAUGGCUCACCAAGGCGACGAUCUCUAGCUGGUCUGAGAGGAUGAUCAGCCACACUGGAACUGAGACACGGUCCAGACUCCUACGGGAGGCAGCAGUGGGGAAUAUUGCACAAUGGGCGCAAGCCUGAUGCAGCCAUGCCGCGUGUGUGAAGAAGGCCCUAGGGUUGUAAAGCACUUUCAGCAGUGAGGAAAGGUUAGUAGUUAAUACCUGCUAGCUGUGACGUUAACUGCAGAAGAAGCCACGGCUAACUCCGUGCCAGCAGCCGCGGU
Molecule: ribosomal RNA, 491 nt
Filed under: uncultured bacterium
Lineage: Bacteria
Description: bacterial SSU rRNA
Rfam family: Bacterial small subunit ribosomal RNA
Source: RNAcentral